RNAcentral lists this ribosomal RNA (450 nucleotides) under uncultured Paraglomus. RNAcentral describes it as "SSU rRNA". It matches the Rfam family "Eukaryotic small subunit ribosomal RNA", at positions 569 to 1024 of the family's 1831-position model. Lineage: Eukaryota; Fungi; Glomeromycota; Glomeromycetes; Paraglomerales; Paraglomeraceae. The record is from RNAcentral.
AGCAGCCGCGGUAAUUCCAGCUCCAAUAGCGUAUAUUAAAGUUGUUGCAGUUAAAAAGCUCGUAGUUGAACUUCAGGCCUGGCUGGGCGGUCCGCCUUCCGGGUGAGUACUGCCUGUGGUCGGGUCCUACCUUCUGGCGAAGCGUCAUGGCCCUAACCGGCCGUGGCGGGGAACCAGGACUUUUACUGUGAAAAAUUAGAGUGUUCAAAGCAGGCACGCGCUUGAAUACAUUAGCAUGGAAUAAUGGAAUAGGACAGUGGUUCUAUUUGUUGGUCUCUAGGACCGUUGUAAUGAUUAAUAGGGAUAGUUGGGGGCAUUAGUAUUCAAUUGUCAGAGGUGAAAUUCUUGGAUUUAUUGAAGACUAACUACUGCGAAAGCAUUUGCCAAGGAUGUUUUCAUUAAUCAAGAACGAAAGUUAGGGGAUCGAAGACGAUCAGAUACCGUCGUAGU